AUUUACCCACGUACACUCCGGUUCCUCCGCGCCGUCCGCACCCACCUGGCGACUGCUCGCUACGUUUUGUUAGCC
RNAcentral lists this small RNA (75 nucleotides) under Xanthomonas campestris pv. raphani. RNAcentral's name for it is "sX9 sRNA". It matches the Rfam family "Xanthomonas sRNA sX9". The record is from RNAcentral. Lineage: Bacteria; Pseudomonadati; Pseudomonadota; Gammaproteobacteria; Lysobacterales; Lysobacteraceae.